UGUAUAAUGAUGAAACUCAUGCGUGUCAACUGACUCUGUAAACCCCUGGUGUGGUGUUGCUCUUGUUGGUGUUCUUCCAGCUUGAGUCCAUGGCACAGCAGGGGUCCACGGACAUGAUCAUAAAUCACUUCUGAAUACA
Small nucleolar RNA from Dicentrarchus labrax (European seabass), 139 nucleotides. Ensembl annotates it as small nucleolar RNA, C/D box 10. Its record names the gene SNORD10. Lineage: Eukaryota; Metazoa; Chordata; Actinopteri; Moronidae. The record is from Ensembl.